RNAcentral lists this ribosomal RNA (770 nucleotides) under uncultured bacterium. Its description in RNAcentral is "bacterial SSU rRNA". It matches the Rfam family "Bacterial small subunit ribosomal RNA", at positions 28 to 774 of the family's 1533-position model. The record is from RNAcentral.
GGCUAACGCUGGCGGCGUGUCUUAGCCAUGCAAGUCGAGCGGGCCUGUGGGUUUACCUACAGGUCAGCGGCGGACGGCGGAGUAACACGUAGCUAACCUACCCCCUGGACGGGGAUAACCACUCGAAAGGGUGGCUAAUACCCGAUGGAGUCCCUAUCUGAGAUGGUAGGGAUGAAAGGUGGGCCUCUGCGGAAGCAAGCUCAUGCCGGGGGAGGGGGCUGUGGCCUAUCAGGUAGUUGGUGGGGUAAUGGCCCACCAAGCCUAUGACGGGUAGCCGGCCUGAGAGGGUGACCGGCCCGAGGGGCACUGAGACACGGGCCCCACUCCUACGGGAGGCAGCAGGCUAGAAAAUUGGGCAAUGGGGGAAACCCUGACCCAGUGACGCCGCGUGCAGGAAGAAGCCCUUCGGGGUGUAAACUGCUGUCGUGCGGGGCGAAGGGUCCAUAGGCGAAUAGCUUAUGGGCUUGACGGUACCGCAGGAGGAAGCCCAGGCUAACCUCGUGCCAGCAGCCGCGGUAAUACGGGGUGGGCGAGCGUUGCCCGGAAUUACUGGGUUUAAAGGGGGUGUAGGCGGUCCGGAGAGUCAGGUGUGUAAUCCAACCGCUCAACGGUUGGGCUGCACCUGAUACUUCCGGGCUAGAGGGCGGUAGAGGAGAGCGGAACUCCCGGUGUAGCGGUGAAAUGCGUAGAUAUCGGGAGGAACGCCGGUGGCGAAAGCGGCUCUCUGGGCCGUUCCUGACGCUGAGGCCCGAAAGCUGGGGGAGCGAAAG